UUCCAGGAAAAAAGACGUCUAAUAAAGAGAUACUUACCAGAAUUAUUUCUAAGCUUGGAAAAGAUAUACUCAUUUAUGACAUCUUGGAUGAUAAAUCUCUGCAUUCUACUAUUUCAAGCCAAUUGAAAAUCCCUGAAGAGGUAUUACUUUGGGAUUUAGAUGCCCGAAGUCGAUACUUAGAGUACUUGAAAAAAGGAAAAACACCCAUAUAUAGAGCGCGAGCAAUGAUAGUGGGUUGUGCAGGAGCUGGAAAAACAACGCUAUUAGGAAGACUGCAAAAGAAAUCAAUGAAGGAUAUACAAAAUAUCAAGUCUACUGUGGGACUAGAAGUGCAUAAUGAUAUUUUUGAAGUAAAGGAAAAAGAAGGAAAACUACAAGGUUAAAAAUCUGUG
Molecule: long non-coding RNA, 392 nt
Organism: Saccostrea echinata
Lineage: Eukaryota; Metazoa; Mollusca; Bivalvia; Ostreida; Ostreidae
Exons: 2
Source: RefSeq, a predicted model, not a curated record